Molecule: non-coding RNA, 204 nt
Organism: Pelobates cultripes (western spadefoot toad)
Lineage: Eukaryota; Metazoa; Chordata; Amphibia; Anura; Pelobatidae
Source: the annotation of a GenBank genome assembly
GUAAGAAGGGAAACCCAUAUGUGUGAUCAUAAAAAGCUUUUCAAAACCACAUCAAAAGGCUGACAAGUCUUUAUAUCAUUGUAAAUGUCAUUUGUGUGAAAUGAUAUAUAGCAUGUCAGACUGAUUAUGUAUAACUUAUUUAGAAUACCAUUAGCAUUACAUCUAUACCAUUAAAAGAGAAUUUCACAGGAUUUUUCAGGGCUG